GGGAUAUAGUGUUUUUCUUUGCGCAGACUCUUCUGCUUCUUCCCCCUCCUGACUCCUUCCACACUCACGCUCCGCCUUUCUAUCUAGGCCAUCUGUAGUAGUAGUAUAGCAGCUAGUAGCUUCUCCAUCACCGCCGGCGAUUCGUGUAGCCGAGCGCCCUUCCUCUGCCUUCUGCAGUUUCCUCUGCUUCUAUGGGCCAAGCGCGGCUCACACACACGCACACACACACACACACAUGUAUGCAUAUAUAUAUAUAUAUAUAUCCAGAUACACGUACCCGACGGCGCGUAGCUAGCAAUGCUCCGUUUCACUGUACCUGCCUUGGUCGUCUUCCAGAACGCGUAUGCGCCGCGCGUGCUAAACAGGAUGACACCUGACCGCAUGGAGCUGACGAUGCUAAUCCUGAAGGAGCGCAAGAAGAAGGUGCGCUACCUUGGCAGCAACUUCCAGGGCUUCAAUGAUCGUGUGCACUUGUUUAACGCACAGGGUGGCGUGCGUCGUGGUACCCGCUACAUCAUCGAAACCCACCACAAUCGUAUUCAGUUUAAGCACCGAUCACGCAACAACAGCAUGGUCGACGUUCGCGCCGUGAAAAUGGCGGGCUCACAGUACGAUUCCAUGGGCAACUAUACCCGCAUGACGUGGGACAAUUCUCUGUGCACGACAAACCUGCUGAGUGACCCUAACUUCAAGCGCCACUUCAAAAACAUGCCCAAGGAAGAGACUAUCGGGGUGCUGGAGGAGUGGGGCGUACGCUACAUCUUGCUGGACGAGAUUCGAAAGCCGUCCUUGAUGGACUGCAAGUACCACAAGCACCACCUGUACGCCGACAAGUUCUGGUGGUCGCCAUCCCCAGAGACCAACCACAUGCGCGGUGAUGCCGAGUUUAAGUGGAAGGGCAACGAGCUGAUAGCGUACGGCGACUACAACGCGCACAUGCCGCACCCCGCCAAUUUCGUUAUUAGUAGCAGCGGUGGCAGCAGCGGUGGUGGUGCGGCCACCUCAAAAUCGGCGGCGGCAGCAGCAGGCUCUAAGAAGGGUGCGUCGGCAAGACCGUGGUUUAGGCGCACUGUUGUGGUGAGGAAGCCGCAGGCAAGCGACACCAAGGUCCCCUCCACUGCAAGUAAGAUUGCGGCUGCAGGGACGUCCAAGUAGGAGCGCGUGCCUGUCUUUCGGCUCCAACGCUCAAAAGGAGGCCACACUUUGGGAGACUGUACAUGUUGCUGACUUUCCCGCGCCCGACGGCUUUGUGCUGCAGCGCACCGCGCUUUUCUUUCUGUCCCCCUCCUUCCCCCCUCCUGCUCCUCUUCCUCUAUGCCGUAGGCUCUCUUUUCUCUGUGACUCGCCGACAUGUGCAUGCGCACAUUUUACUUCAAGGAUGCGUGAGCGGUGCGUGCGUGCAAAGACGACAUGAGCAGACUCGAGGAAAGGAUGACAGGAGCUGACGUAUGCGGGAGAGGUGAGGAUGGGGCGGGCAGUGCCAGAAUGACCGUGAAAUAGCCUGAGAGGGAGGGGGCGUAAAGGAGUCGGCUGAGGAAAGCAGAGAGGAGAGAGCGCGCGGGAGCGAAGGGCAGUAGACGGAUGUACGGCGAGCGGGGCGGGUCGUGGUGGCCGUAUCAUUGGAGAGGAGAGGAGCGGUGGGGGACGACUCGAUGCGUGCGGCCUCACAUGAGCAGCUUCCCCCCCCCCCCCCCCCCAUCCGCCUUCGCCGUCUUGCUCUACAUCACCUACGCCCUGGUGCUCUUUCUUCGCGGACACUGCGCGCCCCCUUCUCCCCCGGAUUGAUUUCAUGCACGCUCAGGCUACUGUGGCAGCGGGGCACAGCUACCCCGACCUCUCUUUCCCUCUCCUCUUUGUGGUUCCUGGCGUGCGGCGCGUCUCUGCAGCGCUUCCGCCCUAUCUAUCCGCACCCUUUAUCCAUCUGCGUCUCUCUCUCUUCCUGCCGUGCUGUCUGUCGGUAUGCGUGCCUGGCGCAG
RNAcentral lists this unclassified non-coding RNA (1976 nucleotides) under Leishmania donovani. Its description in RNAcentral is "gene:LdHU3.28.3400(CDS-product:hypothetical_prote in_conserved)". Lineage: Eukaryota; Euglenozoa; Kinetoplastea; Trypanosomatida; Trypanosomatidae. The record is from RNAcentral.